Nylanderia fulva is the source of this 6695-nucleotide non-coding RNA. NCBI's taxonomy places the organism in Eukaryota, Metazoa, Arthropoda, Insecta, Hymenoptera, Formicidae. The record is from RefSeq and is a predicted model, not a curated record.
UAUUAUAUAUCAAUGUGAGAUAUAAAAAAGAAAGCGAAUAACUAAAAUAUUAAUGCAUGAAAAAAUGAUAUCGGUAGCAAACAAACAAUACAUUGUGAAGUGUCUCUUGAUAAUAUACAUAUAUUAUAACAUUAUAUAAUAAUAUUAUAUUUAUAUAUAAUAUAUAAUUAUAUAUAUAUCAAUAAGAUAUAAUAUUAAUGCAUGAAACAAAUUAUAUCGGUAGCAAACAAGUCUUAAUGAAAAAUUGCUCUCUGGUAAAAUCUGACAUAGUACAUUAAUAAAAAUUGUUGAACUUCGUCGUUAUCGUAAAAGUAAAAUGACGCAGAUGAUAAAUAUUUAAGUACAUGAAAGAAGGAUAUAUGUAUACUUUUCGCAGAUUUUGUUUUUAGUUUAUAUAGUACAUGUGCGACUACAGAGUCGACGCUAAAGCCAAAAGUCCGCAAGAAUCUUGUACAUAAAUCUUUAUAUAUCCGAACUUUUUUCUGAGAUGGUUCACUCGUUAUCACUAAAAAUUUUACUUUCAUUUUAUAUCACUUACGGACAUACGUCAAUGUCCUAUCGAGCUCAUGAAAUAUUUCGAUAUCGGCGAAUAUAGCCACAGAUGGAGGCGAUGAGCCUCCUUUUUACAUAUAUGUAUAUGUAAUGAUAAGUUAUAAAAAUGAUAAAAAUUGUUUCAGAGAAAUAGAGAGAAGGUGAAGUACAGUUAAGCAUAAUUUUGUCAUUUUUUUUCUUUUUGUUUUAGAUGCAAUGCAAUCUUCCAUAUGACCGAAACGUUUCCUCGUCUUAUUUUCUUCGUAUAUAUGUAUCUUUGUUUUGAUUAAAGGAACCCCAUUUUUAAGGCAUUGUAUAGGGCUUGAGUAUCCGAAUGGCUAUUUAUUCUCCAAAAGGGAAAAUUGUGCGCUCGAGCUGCCGUCUCUUCAUCUGAAUCAUCACCUAUCACCACGUACGUACAUCUACGUCCAAAUCGGGCAACCACUCUGCCGAAACAGCUCUCCUUUCCUAAAACGUAUAAAAUUACCAAUUUUGGAGGCCGAAUAUAUAUUUUCUAUGGGAAAUAUCCCGCCGAUGCCGAAGAGCAGAACCUUGGAGAGCGCGGGUACCAGCUGCGUAGUCGUCACCAGGAUGUUGAUGCAAUGACUCCUCUUAUUGAUGAUGUUAAGACACUCGACGGCCGACGUCAACCAUUUAUCAGUCAGCACUUCGAUCUCGGAACGCAACUGUAGCCACUGUUCGCGUUUGGCCGUGCCCAACAAACCGCCCACGUUGUUACGAUAAUUGCAGUAGAUCUCCUUAAUCUUACGAUAACGAAAUGCCAACUUCCUCAUCCAGUCGACGCCGCCUCGUACACCAGACGCCAGGCAUAUCCCGUUAUUCGCGGACGCGCACUGGAAACCAUCGGUCGUGAAGUUGUAGGACGACAAGUCCUGUCCGUUAUCGUCCGACGAAACGUCGUCUAUGUGUACUUGAUCGCAGUCCUACGGGGAAAAAGAAAAUAGAUACUGGAGAGCUUUCAUUAAAGUUAUAUGAACAAACCAGGAAGAUUUUAUCACCUCGACAUCAUUGAAGAAAAAGUGCGUAUCUGCUAAACUGAAUAUCAUCUCUUCCAUUCUGUACGCCGCUUGGGCCAGAAGGGCUGGAUCCUUACGGUGCUUCGUGGCGAAUUGUCCGGAAAUUUCGUUUACGAGAGAUAGAGAGAAAGGAACUAAAAGAGCGUGUGAUUUAAUGAAAAACUUACCAGCAAAGUUGAUGUUGCCGAUGUUAAAGGAGGUCGGAGGCGCGUGAUAACCGGGUACAGGAUAAUAUCCGGAAUACUGAAGCGGUACCCUGUCGUUUCCGUAUAAACUACUGCUGUAAGCGCUAUAAUCUAAUUUCUGAAAGAGAGAAUGAAAAGUGUCACAUUUGCAUUUGGAGGAAAUUGUGAAAAUGAAAUGAUCACCUGGGUGGCUGAUGAUAUAUUCUGCGCGACGUUCGGGAAUGUCGUCGUCCCGCUGUUGUAACUAGCGUAAGGUGCAUACUGCGUCAUCGAGCUUGACGACGUGUAAGAGCUUAGAUACGUGCUCUGCAAGCUCGCGUUUUUCGAAACUGUCGUCGAUCCGUAAGGCGGCGGGUUGUAUAGACUAGACGAGAUGGAAAAAGGAAAACGAACAGAAAAAGAUAAGUUUUUACGCUGAUGAACAAUUAUCUGUACGUGAAUUAAUUAUAAUACAGUCCAAUGAUUAAAUAAUGGUACUAAUUUUGUUUUAAAAAGUGCUCAUGUUUUAUCUAAUGCUGAAAAUACAUUCCUCGAGUAAACAAAAUAUCAUCUUUUAUCGUAAAUUAUUUUGUAUCAUUAUUUAAUCGGCAAAUUAUGUGCAAAUUAAAUACCUAUUGUAAUAUUGAUUGGUAUCAUACAGGGAUCCGUAAUCCGUCUUUUCCAUCGAAUCCGGAUACUCCUGUUCCUUCUCCUCAGCAUUCUCAUCGAUGUAGAGUUCGCCACCGGGGACGCUAUCGUUUUCGGGACAGUCCUGCACCUCGUUUUUAACUUCGGUCUCUUGUAUGAAAAUUAACAGGUGAAAGAAGAUUGCACCUGCGAGAUCGCAGGAGUUCGCUCGCGUGUGAACUUCAUUAUUGUCUGCCAAUUGCGUGUCGAAGAGGAGUGACUGGUUGGGUAGGCGUUCACCAUGAGGCACCUAAAGCAGCCAAUGGAACCUCUCACGAUGCUUUACAUUAUGUUGAUAUUUUUCUCUACGAGAUCGCCUGCGGAUUAAUCGAGGGACUUAUUAUCGUUACGUCACGGAUACGAAAUUGUCACCCUGUAUAUCAUUAUUGCUCAUCUCGCCGUAUAAGCAGAGAGAGAGAUGAAAGGCACUCCGCUUAUCUAAACAAAAGGCCGUGCCGAAGUGUUUAUCGCGGGUGAGUUGCUUAGCUUGCUGUCUGGCUUGGCUGCUUGUCUGUCCAUCAAGCGUCAGGGAAAUGCAACGAAACGAGAGGAAUGCCGGCUCGGUCUCUCUCGCCCGCAGGACUCUUCAGACUCGGGUCGGCUUACGUCGUCGACCGUAAGAAAGAAAAGGAAAAGCAAAGCGCUAAGGAUGGCUACAGUUCGUUGAGACAAAAGCUUUUUGUCCGGGAGCCUACCUAGCCGCGUGUCAGAAGGAAGAAACGAAAAGUCUUUAGGAAGGUUUUCACAAUCUCUGUCUAUGAAGUAAACACGCUUGCAAGGAUUAAUACUGGAACGACAAUUUAUUGUAUCAGCGUUACGUAUUUAGAAGAGGAACUAUCAGCCUUUUUGGAGGGAAUGUAUUGUUUGAUACUACGCAACGACCAAUUAAAAUACAUUACUGUCCUAACGAGCCGAAUGAGAUGCAUAAGUUACGCAUGCUCAAUUGAUAAUGACGUUUCCGCGUGUGUGCGAACAGCGACUCUUGCGUCUCUAAUACAGUUCCUCGGAAAAACUUUACACUCGGAAAACUUUAUCACGCGCCAAGAUAAACUGAAUAUAAUCUAGAAACACGGCGAUAUAGUUGAGAAUUUAUCUAAACAAGUCGAUCUUGUUCUAUUUCUCUCUCGCAAGAUUUUGGAUAUGCCAGAGAUCAAAAAUUAAUAAAAGUGAUGAUUGGAAAAUUGAAACUUAUAUCUGACUAAAAGGAACCUCACGUAAAAGAUCUACUCUUGCGUCGUUAAAGGAAAACUACGCCAAGUAAACAACAUAAUUCAGGAAAGAGAGAGAAAGAAAACCUCUCUUCACGACAAGUCUAAUUGAGUAAAAUUGAGCGAACCUUACGUCUCGUUACUCCAGAUUCGAGAUAGGAUAUCCACUGAUGCACGUUCAAGGAAGCCUUCGGCGAUUCUCUCCCGACAACAGCAUCGUUAUAUCCCGGAGAUGAAACACUUGAAACCUCUUUACGGCUAAUGUAGCUGUAACAUCGAGGGUGAGUCUGCAUUUUUCAAGGACGAUAUGACGAAAAUGAAGAAUAACACGGGCGGCAAUAUAAUUUUCUACAUCCUAUACCAACAUCCAUUGUAUGUUUUCCACCAACUUGAUGGACUCUCAAAUUUCGUUAAAAGUCUCUUGCUAACGUUACCAUAAAAGCAUCUCAAGAAACUUUCCCGUUUUAAGCUCUAUUCUACGGAAAAUCGUGUUCACUAAAACUAGACGAUAGAAUAGCGAAUGAAUGUAUAUGUUCUCGGGGAAUAUAUGGCGAUCGACAUCUUGAUCAGGGCUUUGUGACGAAUGACAAAGGAGAAUAAUGCUUUUACAUAACGUACAUCAAACACAGAAGGAUCUCUUCGCAUUUCUGAGAAAGAUUGACUAUCAUGCAUGUUCAUCUCUUUAUUGAAAUCGACCGAUCAUCGAUCUUAUAUUACGCAAUACGUACUGUCCAUUUACUUCAAAUGGAUACAAAUGCGAUAUUGCGGAAAAUGGAUUAAAUGCACGCUGGAAUUCUCAUGACAAAAAGUUUCUUCGUUCUAUUAUCUAUAGAAUUCAACACUUUCCACGUACGAAUGAAAUUCUCAAUCUUCUUCCCGAGGGAGCUCGCAACUCUCGCAUCGUGCUACUACUCUUCGAGAUAAGUGCGAUACACCAGCUUCGUGAAAGAAAUAUCGAUUCUAACGUGUGACGGACAUUAUUGCGUUCCCAAGAGUUCGCCUAUCGCAGAGACAGCGGAUAAUAAAAGAAGACGCGCCGGAAAGAUAGACAUGGCGUCGACAUUAUUCUGCAGUGGGUCGCAGCCGCUGAAGAAAUGGCGGAAUAAUGGUUUUGACGAUAUCCUUUAAUAAGGGAAUUUUUUGCAAGUUGCAAAAAAAUGCAUAUAUACACAUGUAUAUUUUUUCUCUGAAGUUACUCUAUGAAAAUAUGGUCCUUAUUUUCAAGAUAUAUUAAUAUACAUAGUAGGCGUAUAUAUGUGACGACCACCCAGGUGUAUGUAUACCUCAUUGUGUGCUCCAGGAAAAAUGCAGGGACAUAGAGACGUAUACGGUGUCGUCGUGGGAUCUGCGAAGUAGGCCCUGAGACCUACACGGCGGAUUGUUAUGAAUCAUGUCAAGUUUACCUUUAGACGAAAGAAUUGCAAAGGGUUAAUGGAUAUACAAUCAAUACACUCAUCGUCAAUGAGGAUCCGAAAAAAAUUAACGAGUUGGCGUACAAGUAAAGCCAGCAAUCUUAAAAAUAUUGAUUGAAGGCGAAUCAUCAAGUUCCAUAGGAAAUUCCAAUUCCACUAGGACUAGCAGAUAUGCAAAAGGCGAUUUUUUUUCGCAAAAUAACAUCGCAUCAACGCAUAAGCGAAACACGUGACAUACUUAAAGUACGGUCCUGCAAAAAUGGACACACACACAUAUGUUAGAGGACCUGCGAGAGUUUCGGGCCGGAGCUAAGUAAGCGCGAGAGAUAUAUCCCCGUUUUGCACGAGGAUGUGUGUGUUAGGAAAUGGAUAUAUGUAUGCAACGAGGAAAUAUCUCUGUCUAUGUGAGUAGGUAGAUAGAAUAUGCGCGCAGUUGAGCCGCAUUCUCGGCCGGAGAUCCUCAAAUUCCGCGGCGAUGACGAACGAAUGAUUUUCGGCAAGGACACCCUGUGUGCAUGCAACGCAGGCGCAGGCAGCUGUCACCUUACACCCAUGGUAGAGGAGGAGAAGGAGGAGGAAGCAUGGGGCUGCGGCGGCCAUUCUCAACUUAUCUCUAGGAUCUUUGUAAACAUGUCGUGAAAUCCGAGUAUUCCGACAGUGGCGUAGAUCACGGGGUGGAAAGGAUCUAUCGAGAGGCGGGGAAUUAAAUUAAAAUCGAAAAUUGACAGAGCCGCGGUGUAAUUUCGAGCCCUAAUUAAAAGCGCGCCGAGAUCUCAACUCUAUCCUUAUUUGUAUGGAGACUCGAUUUUUUUUCUAGAGCGACGUGGAAAAUUUCAACUCCACUGCCAAUAUGUUUGCGUAAUUUUUCAUGUCCGAAAAUGAGGAUCCUCGCAUGAAUGCGGCAUCGCGACGCCGCUAUCCAUGUGGUUCCCUUGACAACCAGGAUCGCUAGUGGCAACGUCACUAAAUGGAAAGCGCAUCUUUGUUCCGUGCUAAUAAAAAGGACGCGUCUGUAGACACCUAAUGAUCCUAACGAUCCUAGUUUAGAAUAUGCGCCUAACAAUGUUCAAAAAUUACAUAGUUGAGAAUUGGAAUGUCACAUAUACUUGGAAUUGUGCUGACUAUUCAUAAAUGAGAUUUAAAAAAUCCCUUAAACAUCGUUGUGAGAUUGAAAGCCACCGGCUUUUACGUAUUAAUCAUUAUAAAUGUAAAUGAGAAACAAAGCUAUUAAUUUAAUUGAAAAUAGACUUUCUAAUGUAACACAUUAUCAACUUCUUGAAAACGUUAGAAAAUGAUUAUUUAAUUAAAUCUUUACUAGUAAUAAAUGUUGAAGUUGAUUAAAAAAUUUGUAGAUAAAAUUUCGUAUAAUUUUUCAACACAUUCUCUGUGUGUAUAUCAAAGUUAAAUCUCUUUUUUUUAUUCACGCUAGAAUUAGUAAAUAGACGAAUUAAAAUCGAAUAUGCAUCAGGGAAGACUUGCUCAUUUUUAACUAUAAACUUUAAUAUUUUAUUUUCGAAAUUGUUUCAAAAUUUUGAAAUUCCUUAUUUCAAUAUCUUAUCCCAUCUUACAUAAAUUUUAACUUGGACGAAAAUUAUAUAGGAUAUAUUUAGGUAGAGGUGUAAAUCAAAGAUUUCAUAAUUAUAAUUAAAAAAAAGA